CAACAUCAGUUUCGAUCACUAUAAAAUGACUGGCGGAAUGUAGCUUCGAUUUCGGUUGAAGUGUUAUAGCCUCUGGUAGAUGUGGUGAUUGGGACUGAGGAUUGCAACGAAUAUCCUUUGGGCUAUCCGUCUGGCCUCUGAAAGUUGCUUGGGUGCUGAAAGCUUGCUUAUGGUUAUCUAAGUUAACGGUCAAUAGGUUAGAACGCGAUUACAUUCGUUAAGGAUGUUGACGUAAA
Molecule: ribosomal RNA, 236 nt
Filed under: uncultured fungus
Lineage: Eukaryota; Fungi
Description: partial large subunit ribosomal RNA
Source: RNAcentral